CAACUUCUGAAACAUUCAGAAAAAAGUGGCUAAUAGCUGGGGCUAGCUGACAGAAAAGACAAAGACAGCUAUGUGGUUUGGUACAGAUAUCGGUGACUUAAAGGAACACUCCAAACACCAUAACCACUACAAUUCCAUUGUAAGUAGUACAGGGCUUAGCUCCGGAGAGGUAACAGUCUCAGUGGUGGAGACAGGGAGUUGCACCCGGCAGAUCUCAGGUUAGAAGUCAAACCAUUCAAAAAAUGGCUGAGUGGAAGUGGUUAUGGUGCAUGAAGCGUUGCUUAAUUGCAUA
Molecule: non-coding RNA, 292 nt
Organism: Pelobates cultripes (western spadefoot toad)
Lineage: Eukaryota; Metazoa; Chordata; Amphibia; Anura; Pelobatidae
Source: the annotation of a GenBank genome assembly